RNAcentral lists this long non-coding RNA (20975 nucleotides) under Daucus carota (carrot). RNAcentral describes it as "long non-coding RNA (DCAR_LNC005964)". The record is from RNAcentral. Lineage: Eukaryota; Viridiplantae; Streptophyta; Magnoliopsida; Apiales; Apiaceae.
GAAGAUCCCUCCUGAUUUGCAUACCUAUAGUAUAUUAGUUGAUGCAUACUGCAAAGAAGGGAGGACAAAAGAUGCAGAAGAUUUGAUUAAAACUAUGAUCCAGAAAGGUGUGCCUCCUGAUGUAAUCACCUACAGUGCGCUUAUGGAUGGAUUUUGUUUAAGAGGCAAAAUGGACAGGGCACUAGAGGUGCUGAAUACAAUGAGAAGUAAUGGGAUAGCGCCAGAUUGUUAUAGCUUUAACAUUCUGAUAAAUGGCUAUUGUAAGAGGCAGGAACUAGAAAAAGCCAUCAAUCUCCUCAGACAAAUGCAUGUUGAAGGUAUAAAAGCCAAUGUUCAAACCUACAGCACCAUCAUACAUGGUCUCUUUCAGAUGGGUAGACAUAAUGAUGUGCACAACCUUUGCCAUGAAAUGCUAAAGAAAGGUAUUAAACCAAAUAUUGUAACUUGUCGAAUUCUGUUGGAUGGCCUUUGCACGAAUCGACACAUGGAUGAAGCAAUUUCCUUCUUUCGAAUGAUGGAAUGUGAAGGUAUAGUUCAUGAUAUUCAAGUACAUAGUAUCCUCAUGGAUGGUCUCUGCAAGAACAGAAAACUUGACGAGGCCAGAAAUAUUUUUGAUAAGCUUGCUUCGAGAGGUUUGCAACCCGAUGUCAUAACACACAACAUAAUGAUCAGAGGACUUUGUCAAGAAGGGUUAUUUGACGAAGCAAAGAUGUUACUUUCUAAAAUGGAAUCUAGUGGUUGUUUGCCUGACGAUGUGACUUACAACACGAUCAUCCGUGGAAGCCUCUUGAAUAAAAGAUACGAAGAAGCAGUUGUACUGAUUGAGAACAUGAGAGCUCACAAUUUCUCAGCGGAUGCAUCUACCACAUCCAUGGUAGUAGACCUAUUACCUAAAGAAGAACAGGAAGAAGAGGAAGAACAGGAAGUAAUGGGAUAGCGCCAGAUUGUUAUAGCUUUAACAUUCUGAUAAAUGGCUAUUGUAAGAGGCAGGAACUAGAAAAAGCCAUCAAUCUCCUCAGACAAAUGCAUGUUGAAGGUAUAAAAGCCAAUGUUCAAACCUACAGCACCAUCAUACAUGGUCUCUUUCAGAUGGGUAGACAUAAUGAUGUGCACAACCUUUGCCAUGAAAUGCUAAAGAAAGGUAUUAAACCAAAUAUUGUAACUUGUCGAAUUCUGUUGGAUGGCCUUUGCACGAAUCGACACAUGGAUGAAGCAAUUUCCUUCUUUCGAAUGAUGGAAUGUGAAGGUAUAGUUCAUGAUAUUCAAGUACAUAGUAUCCUCAUGGAUGGUCUCUGCAAGAACAGAAAACUUGACGAGGCCAGAAAUAUUUUUGAUAAGCUUGCUUCGAGAGGUUUGCAACCCGAUGUCAUAACACACAACAUAAUGAUCAGAGGACUUUGUCAAGAAGGGUUAUUUGACGAAGCAAAGAUGUUACUUUCUAAAAUGGAAUCUAGUGGUUGUUUGCCUGACGAUGUGACUUACAACACGAUCAUCCGUGGAAGCCUCUUGAAUAAAAGAUACGAAGAAGCAGUUGUACUGAUUGAGAACAUGAGAGCUCACAAUUUCUCAGCGGAUGCAUCUACCACAUCCAUGGUAGCAGACCUAUUACCUAAAGAAGAACAGGAAGAAGAGGAAGAACAGGACCCCGCCGUUCUUGCUUUCUGCAAAUGGUUUUUGCAACAGGUACUGAAAUUUAUGGUUCAUUGUUAUGUAUUAUCAUCUCCUAACUUCUUAAGUUAUCUGCUAUAGUAAUAUGUUUUGCCGAGUAAAGAAUUAUAUCGAUUAGCAACUUAAGGGAUACCAUCAGUUUGUUUAGAGGUAAUAGACAAUGGAUUAGAGACUGUAAUACUAUCUCUUCUAUAUGUAUUAAGGACAGUCUAUGUUCAAGUUGUCAUUUGGAAUUGAAAGCUAGCAUUUAGACGCUUCCCAUAAUACGGAAAAACAAAUCAGCAUUUAAAAAUAAUAAAAGAAGCCUCUGUACUACCUCUAUAAUGCAUAUAUCAGAUAAUUUUAUUCGAGAAAUACCCUUCAGCACGCAUGUUAAGGCUUUCACAAACAAGCUCAUUUCUCUUUCUCCUGAUAUUAUCUGUUAUACCAUUCAGGCUUCUACUAAUGCUAUUUCAUAUUCUAUUAUUAAAAGGAUUGUGACUAAGUAAAAGCAAUGCCAAGCAGUAUUAUCUAUGGAGACGGUGCUGAGAAUCAAGUAAUAUUAUUGCUACAAACCAGUGAUAAUAGGAGGAUUGAGCACUAUUGAACAGGAAUGACAAUAUAACUCAGACCAAUAUUGAUGAUUUUGAUCUACCUUGAAAUAAAAAGGACCUCCGAUCGAGGUGUGGUUCAGCCUCCGUAUGAAUAACAACAAGCUAAAUGAAGUGUAUUUUAUUUGGAGUUCAAAAGAGAAUUUAUAUAGAGAUUUGAGCAUUCGAGAGGGUCAGGCUCUGCUAAUUAAAAUAACAAAAACUCUUUUUUUUUUUUUUUGACAAAAAAUAACAAAAACUCUUAAAUGAAUGGAUAAUUGCUACUUUUUCCUUACACUUCCUUUAUGUCUCCCUCCUUCCGCUUGCUAGCUUUUCCCUGCUAUGCAACUCCAUUAUGCUAAGUCUCCUGGAGAUGCACUAAUACAGAGAACAAAACAGAAAUUUGUAAAAAUUUACCUAAGGGGUCAACAUGGUUGGAGUUGAAACAUUAUCUCCAGUUUUCUAAAUUUGAAUUGGCACAUCACAUUUAGCUAAUUGGUUGUUUUAGUUAAAUUAGCUAUUUUUGACAUAUGAAGUUGGGGAAAAGAUUAUUCUAUCUCAAUUCUCAAGGAUAUUCCGUUUGAUACAAAAAAAAAGUGUUGGAUAUAUUAAAAUUUCGAUCCAGACAGUAAGGAUAAAAUCAAUUGCAUGCCAGAUUAGCAAAAAUCACUUGUGUACAUCUUCCAGCACUAUCAGAUUGACUGAUGAAAUGACUGUUUCGCAACUUUUGUGGUCUAGGGGAUUACACAAAAUAACAAGUUGGAACAGAAAAUGAAGUAUGAAUAUUGCUUGUCGAAUCACAAGGAGCUUACAGUUUAUGAGUUAUGACAUGUUGCUGAAAUUUUCAUGCGUUAAAGCAUUAAACUACUAGGAAAUGGAACAAGGUUAAUUGAACAGCUAUCAUAUGGCAGGUUUUAGUUUUAUAUAGUUGCAUUAUUAUUGGGAUUUCUAUAUAGUGGUACUUUUGAUUCUGCUCGCUACUAAAAAUGCCGUCAAUUGUUAUAGAACACUAGAAAGUGAGAGUCUGCGUCAAUUCUCAGAGAUUUGGGUUAUAGAGUGUUUGCAAGAAUAUAGUUCUCUGUGGUUUAUGCUUUUCUCAUGUUCUCCUUGUUUCAUCCAUGUGGCUUUGGCAGAGACAAAACAGUGAUAUUAGGCUAUUCGGUUUGGAAACAAAGCUCGCGUUUUGAAUAAUCUUGUAUUUCUCUGGUUCUAAUAAUUUAAUGUGGAAAAUAAAGUUUCGGUUUGUUAGGUGAAACUUUUAUUGGUUGCGCAAUAUUUUCUUCCUAAUCUGUGUAGUCCCUUAUAUGUUUGUGCUUCCUGUUUGAUAUUGUGCAGAAGGAUGAUCAUGCUGACAGCUCGAGCACAUUCUGGAUUUGAGAAGAUCAGUCAAAUAGAUAUGAAGGUCUCUACAUCAAAUGCUGGGUAACUAAAGUGCAUCCCCUAGGCCCUCAUUUAUAUAUGCUUCUUGUUUGAUAUUGAGGACUGCUGAUUAGAAGUGCCGAAAAGUGAUCAGAAAAGUAUGAAUUUAUUGUCGUUACUCCUUUGCCACUUGACAGUAUCUUUAUAAGCUAUAGGUCAUAGACCUAACUCUAUGUACUCACAGAUCUCAUCAAGUGGCCCCUUGAAUCCCACAUGAAGAACAUAUAGUGAAAAACAUGAGCUUUAACUGAAUCCAAUAUGCGAUGCCAUACUUAAUUUGUAUAGAGAUACAUGAGCUCCAUGUAACAUAUAUAUUAUGUUUGCAUGUUUAAAAUAUUUACUCUUUUACCUAAUUUGCAUAAAGAAACACUUAUAGAAAACACGUUACUCACGAUUUCUCAGCGGAUGCAUCCGCAACGUCCAUGGUACUAUACCUUUUUUCAACAGAAGAAGAAGAUUCAUCUAUUUUUGCUUUCCUUGAAUGGUUGUUGCAAUAGGUAGAAAAAUUGAUGGUUCACUGUUAUAAAUUUUCAUUUUCCCAACGUUCUUGAGGAUUUCGCAUACAUUGUUGAGUUACUUGCAUAUGUUAGUAGGCGGACAGUAAAACAUCUGAGAAAUUUCUAUGAUAAGGCAGUUAGUAUACGGAAAUUGUAUGAUGCAGGUGUGGAGCACAGGGCAACAGUGAAUUCGGAAAAGGAAAUAUUUUCUAUCCUAUAUUUCUUCCAUUCUACUCAACCAUGGUAGAGCCUGUCAAAGAACUAACAGAUGAUGAAAACCCUGCCAAGUGUACAAUGCGACUGGGGUAAGUUCUUAACAUCGCAAACAUUUAGUAAUUUCAAGAAACUAGAUCUCGAGAACAUCCAGACCCAUCAUUUUAAGGCAUUGACAUGGUAAUGGUCGCUACCUAGUGACUCGAUCUUGUAUGCUUUUGCUCUCAAGUCCUCUGGCAAAAUUUUAUAAGCACAGGGUAUAGCAACAAUAAAACUAAUGAAUUACAUUUCUUGACAUUAGAAGCCCAUGCAACAGCGAAAUAUUAGAAGCCCUUUCUUCUCCUAGACCACCCAAGCCUAAAAGGCUUUCUGCAUGCUUUGCAUUGCACCUGUAUUUUCACCUCAAUAUUCACGAUUCGAUUCUGGCUAAUGUUGACACAAAAUGACAAACUUCAUUAAUAUGAGCAAAAAACAAAGAAAUAACUCAAUCAACUUUGUGUCUUGCAAAAAUGUUAAGAUAGGCAUGCGCUUCCAGAAUUUCAAAAAGAUAAGGAUCGAAACUGAUUGUCAUCCCUAAUUUUUGAAAGUGAGACGGGUUGUAGUUUAGGUUAGCCUCUCUGAUUCCGUCACUUGCAGAAGAAUAGUCCGAAGAGACCGAAGAGUCCUGCUCCAAUACUAUUACAACAACAGCUUCCAUUUCCAUGCACAACCUCCAUCACUGACAUACCAUCAUCUCUACAAUUCUAUAUAUAAAUCAGUGACCAACUUCACUACAAGAAAAGAAGCUAUUUCCGAUAGACCCAAUCCGACCGACCCAUUUUACCUUCGGGCAACGUGAUGGUCGGAAAUCAAGAAUUCUUCGACACUCUGCAUCUCAAACUAUGCAUUAGCAUGCACAUAUAUACUGUAUGCACAAGGCUAAAACUGGCCUCUUGGCUUCUCACAAGACAACUUUUGUUCUAACAUGCCUUCUCCCUCAAUUAUUUCGAAAUAAUUAUACAGGAAUCCUCACCUUCCAUUGAGCCAUGAUAAUUUUAGUUGUGCAAUAUAGUAGAACCUUGAUAAAUUAAUAAGUUGAUCAAAUAAACUCGAUCUCAACAUAUUAAUCUAUUCAAUCUCAAUUAUCACAAGAAACUACAGUAGAAACUCUUUAAAUUAAUACUCGGUAAAUUAAUAAACUCUCUAAAAUAAUAAAAUUGUCCGGUCCCGACUUGGGCCAAUGUAAAAAAUUGAAAAACUCGAUAAAACAAUAAGAUAAUAAUUUUUCGGGAGAUUCCUUUAUAAUUUUCGGUCCCAAGAAAAUCAUAAAUUAAUAAUUCUUAGAAACUGAAAAAAAUAUAUUACACGCUAUUGAAAUAUGAUUCAAUAGUUGUCUAUUUUCCUUUGAAGUUCAUAUCUAUUUAGAGCUCAUCUCUAACUUUUCUUACUGCAUCAAAUAGCUUAGGUGUUGUAUUUUUGUAUUGUAUGAAAAUUCAUCUUGUGAGAUAUGGUUUGAAUAUUCUAACACAUUCAUGUAAUUUAUAUAUGCCAAACUUACUUAAGAAUAUUGUAUAUUGAACACAUUUAAUCCUUUUUGUUUAUAUUUACAGAUUUUCAAUACAUAUGAACACAGUAGUUACUAAUUUACUUUUAGUCAAAGAUUCGCUGCAAUAUAAUUCCAAGAGACAUAGACUAAUUUGGCUUUUUGUUUGGCAUGUGCAGUAUAAUCAGUUAAAAACUCUUUAAAUUAAUAAUUAUUAAUUUAUCGAUAAAUUAAUAACUCUCUAAAUUAAUAAAUUUCUCCGGUCCCGACAUUAUUAAUUUAUAGAGUUUUUACUGUAGUACUUAAAAUUUAUCAGUUUCAAAAUUAUAAAUUUAUCGAGUUUCAGCCGAAGUAUCUUAUCUAUUUGAAAAAAUCCACUCACUGGUAUAAAAUUUUGCUGUCUGAACCAUAAAUAUUUGAAAUUUGUGGGUAGAUUUCUCAUCGUGGACAAUAAUAUUUGAUCGAAGAUAAGAAAAGAGGCUAUCUGAACAUAUUUGUUUAUAACUCCUCAAUUAUUCUUCUCAUCAAUCAUCACGGUCUGCAUUUUGGAGUAGAGUUACAUUUUUGUCACUUGGCAUUGGAUGGUACGAGCAUUCAUCUAACAUUCUUUUGUUUAGAUAUGCAUUUGUAUUUGAAUUUCAAAUUACUAACAUUCUUGCAUAUGUUCUUGUCUUGAAGUUCAAAAUUCUUAAAAGUUCACAAAUGAAACCUCUUCUCGAUUAAGAAAUUAUAGUACCUCAACACAUGACUAAUGGAUGGAUUUUGUUUAACAAGAAAAAUGAAACUUCUUCUCGAUUAAGAAAUGGACAAGGCAUUAGGGCAAAUCCAACAUUGGUCUACAGGUCCAAAUUUAAGCCGGUUUCGGUCUAAAUUUUCCUAACAGUGGCCUAAAUCUUGGUCCAAAUUUAGGCCGGUGAACAGUACCUACCUAAAUUUAGGCCGGCACUAUUCACCGGCCUAAAUCUUUUAAUAAUAUAAUAAUAACUUUUUAUUUUUUGUAUAAUUAGUUAAUUAAAUGAUUUUAUGUUAAUAAAAUUAUUAAAUAUUUAUAAAUUAUAUUUAAUAUAUUUCACUUAAAUAAUCAUAUAUAUUAAUUAUGAAAUAUAAUAAAAUUAAAUACUCUUAAAAUAAUUCAAAUUAACAACUCAUUAAAAUGCUCGAUUUCAACAUUCUUGGACGAUAUUGAAAAAUAAAAAAUAAAAAAGCUCAUAUUGCACUUCGAUAUGCAUUAAUUGAGCAUUUGUGGGAACAAUGUAUUAAUUCAGAGUAGUAUUGAAUCUUUGUAAAUUUUAUUUUAGUUAAUUAAAUAAAAUGUUUAAUUUUCUUUUAUUUACUUUGUUUAAAUGUAGUGUUUUCUAAAUUAAUGAAUUUAUGGAGUUUAAUAUUAAUAUGAAAUCUUAUAUUAUUGUUAAAAGGAUUAGAAUAAUAAUAUAAAAAUUGUUAAGAUUAAAUUUAGACCAAGAUUUAGACCAAAAACCGGUUCCACAGUUGGAGAUGGCUUAGAGGUGCUGAAUACCAGGAGGAUAAUGGGAUAGACGGAUAGUGCCAGAUUUUUAUACUCAUUUGAACGUGUUUACUCGUGUUUCUUAAAAAUAUUGAUAUAUAUUACCUAUGAUGGCCUACAACCAGAAUUAUAUAAUUUAUUUUAUAUAAUUUAGGCUUAAUGACCUUUUAACCUUCGAAGUUUGAGGAAGUUCAGUCUCGAUGUUUAAAGUCGUUUGAUUUGACCCUCCAAAUUUUCCGAAUGUACUUUUUAGCCCUUAUGGCGUAUACCGAUAUAUAACUGGGUGGUCAAAGUUGACAUUUCACACGUGAGGGUUAAAAUGGGCAUUAAACAUCGAAGGUUAAACGGAAUAUCUAAUGUAUGUUAAUGUAUUCUUUAAGAUUUAAAAGGAACGAGAAGUAUACUUUAUGAGUUAAAAAAUACGCCUAAACUUUACCCUGAAUAUGAAUUGUCAAGUUUACCCUCCGAUUUAUACCAGUAUUUAAAAAAAGGGCUAAAAGUGACAACAUAGAAACUUGGAGGGUCGAAUCGAACGACUCUAAACAUCGAGGCCGCAUCGAAACUUCCGUCCAAACUUCGAGGGCUAAAAGGUUAUUGAGAUUUGAGACCAUAAUUUAUGUCGUAUAUUCUUCAUAGGUACUUAUUCUGAUUGUUAGAUCUUUUUCAAGAAUCUUUCUUGUAAUAUUCACUUGUCUGGAUACUCAAUGUUGCGUAGAAAUUCUUAAUGUGAUGAAGAAGAUUGAAUUAAUCUAAAUUUAUACAUGUCUUAUGAAGAAGAUUGAAGAUUUAGAUUAAUCUAAAUUAAUCUAAAUUCUUUUUGAAGAAAAUUUAUAUUAAAAUUUUCUAAUCAUGCAAGUUGUAUAAAUUUCAGACCUGGACUAAAAAUGGUUGAUCAUAUUCCGUUGCAGAAAAUAAUCAUAGUAAUUAACAUCAGUUGCAAGCUUGCUAAAAAUUUCAUGAUGCGGAUGUUUUUAAGAAAAUUUGAGAAGCAGAAAAUUUAGUUCCUAUGAACAUCAUUUAUAAAGAUUAUGAAGAUGUUUGCUAGGAUAUAAGAUGGAGCGAUAUCAUUUUCCAUGCAGACCCGUAAAUUAGAUUAAAAAAAAUCCUUGAAUCAAGAUUUUUGUGUGAAAGUAAUCCAAAGAAAUCUGGACUUUAAUACUAUAAAUUAGAUAUAAUUCAUUUUACAUAUAUUAUAAACUUGCACAAUCAAUAACUCACAGUUAAGUUAAUAACCUUGUGGAGUUAUUCGUAAAUCAACUUGUAGAUUGAAGAAAAGUAAAAAUCCGAAACUUGAUCGACUUGAUUCAUUUAAAACUCGAGCUCGAAGGGCAAAAAAAUUAUAAAAACUCAACUCGAAAUGUUUUUUUUUAUACUUCUAGAUAUCAAAGAUAAGCAACAUUGGAUGAUAAAAGUUGGUAAAGAUAACAAGCACGGUACAAACGCAAUGAUUUACCCACUCCAAGGUGCAAUUUAUGUUUAUGACAGUAGGAGUAACAGAUAAGCUUGGUUGUUAUUUAUGUUUGUCUCUUCUUAAAUUUGUCUGUUAUUGUGUGUGGCUGAUAUUUAGUCCAUCACUUGUAUUCUGAUGUGACAUUUAUCAGUUCUUGAUUCACAAAAUAUUUAAGCAAUGUCUGCCAUUUUCCUGAGAAGAGGAGCUCAAAGACUGGCAUGCACAUUCCCUCUGUUCUCUACUAAACCCAAAGCCCCCUUUGUACCUUCUCCAUCCACCACUCAUCCCGAGCUAAAACAAUUGCUCUAUCAGAAGUCUAAGGUUGGUUUCGAUAAACUCGACGAUGCUCUGCUUGUGUUCGAUCAAAUGCUCCUUCUGAAAUCUAAGCUUUCUGUUGUGCAUUUCACACAACUCUUAACCGCCCUCGUCCGAAUGGAAGAGUACUCUGUUGCCGUCUCCAUGUUUAGAGAAUUCCGUGUUUUAAGCAUUCCUGUUAAUAUUGUUACCUUUACUACUGCCAUCCAUUCCUGUUGUCACUUGAAUACGCUUGAUUAUGCCUUUUCGUUGCUUGCUGGAAUCAUCAAGAGUGGUCAUGUCCCCAAUGUUGUGACCUACACCACUCUCAUCAAGGGCCUUCUGUCUCAAGACAGGCCUUUGGAGGCUGAGCAUUUAUUUAAGAAGCUUAUCAGAUUUCGAGAAAUUCUGCCCAAUGUAGUUAUGUAUAACACCAUCAUUGAUGGUCUCUGCAAAACUUCAAAUACUUCCACGGCUCUCAAGUUGUUAAGAAAGAUGGAGAAGUUAGGUUGUAGACCCGAUGCAAUAACUUAUACCUCGAUUAUUGAUUCUUUGUGCAAAGAGAGACGAGUCGAUAAUGCAUUGGAUCUUGUGUCUGAAAUGACCAACAAAGGCAUAUCACCUAAUGUUAUAACCUAUAACAGCUUACUUCAAGGUCUUUGCAGCUCAGGCCGAUGGGAGGACACUGAGCGUUUGUUAACUGAGAUGGGUGUUAGGAAGAUCUCUUCAGAUUUGCACACCUAUAAUAUAUUAGUUGAUGCACACUGCAAAGAAGGGAGGACAAAAGAUGCUCAAGAUGUUAUUGAAAUUAUGAUCGAGAAAAGUGUACCUCCUGAUGUCAUCACCUACAACACACUAAUGGAUGGAUAUUGUUUAACAGGCAAAAUGGACAGGGCACUAGAGGUGCUGAAUACCAUAAGGAGUAAUGAGAUAUGGCCAAAUUGUUAUAGCUAUAACAUUCUGAUAAAUGGCUAUUGUAAGAGGCAGGAAGUAGACAACGCCAUCAAUCUCCUCAGACAAAUGCCUGUUGAAGGUAUAAAAGCUGAUGUUCAAACCUACAGCACCAUCAUACAUGGUUUGUUUCAGAUGGGUAGACAUAAUGAGGCGCGGAACCUUUUCCAUGAAAUGCUAAAACAAGGUAAUAAACCAGAUAUCGUAACAUGUCGAAUUCUGUUGGAUGGCCUUUGCAAGAACCGAUACAUGGAUGAAGCAAUUUCCUUCUUUCGAAUAAUGGAAUGUAAAGGUAUAGUUCAUGAUGUUCAAAUACAUAAUAUCCUCAUAGAUGGUCUCUGCAAGAACAGAAAACUUGAUGAGGCCAGAAAUAUAUUUGAUAAGCUUGCUUCGAGAGGUUUGCAACCCGAUGUGAAGACAUACACUACAAUGAUCAGAGGACUUUGUCAAGAAGGGUUGUUUGAGGAAGCAAAGAUAUUACUUUCUGAAAUGGAAACUAGCGGUUGUUUGCCUGAUGAUGUGACUUACAACACGAUCAUCCGUGGAAGCCUUUUGAAUAAAAGAUACGAAGAAGCAGUUGUACUGAUUGAGAACAUGCGAGCUCACAAUUUCAAAGCGGAUGCAUCUUCCACAUCCAUGGUAGUAGACCUAUUACCUAAAGAAGAACAGGAAGAACAGGCCCCCGCCGUUCUUGCUUUCUGCAAAUGGUUUUUUCAACAGGUAUAUCAUCUCCUAACUUCUUUAAGUUAUCUGCUAUACUAAUAUGUUUUGUUGAGUAAAGAAUUAUAUCGUUUAGCAACUUAAGGGGUACCAUCAGUUUGUUUAAAAGUAAUAGACAAUGGAUUAGAGACUCUAAUACUAUCUCUUCUAUAUGUAUGAAGGACAUUCUAUGUUCAAGUUGUCAUUCCGAAUUGAAAGCUAGCAUUUCGACUCUUCCCAUAAUACGGAGAAAAAAAUCAGCAUUUAAAAAUAAUAAAAAAAGCCUCUGCACUACCUCUAUAAUGCAUAUAUCAGAUAAGUUUAUUCCAGAUAUACCCUUCAGCACGCAUAUUCAGGCUUUCACAAACAAGCUCAUUUCUCUUUCUCCGGAUAUUAUCUGUUAUACCAUUCUUACUUCUAUUUAUUCUAUUACAUAUUCUAUUAUUAGCAGGAUUGUGACUAAGUAAAGGCAAUGCCAAGUAGUAUUAUCUAUGGAGACGGUGCUGAGAAUCAAGUAAUAUUACUGCUACAAACCAGUGAUAAUAGGAGGAUUCAGCACUAUUGAACAGGAAUGAAAAUAUAACUCAUACCAAUAUUGAUAAUUCCGAUCUACCUUGAUAUAAAAAUGACCUCCGAUCGAGGAGUGGUUCAGCCUCCGUAUGAAUAACAAGCUAAAUGAAGUGUAUUUUAUUUGGAGUUCAAAAGAGAAUAUAUAUAGAGAUUUGAGCGUUCGAGAGGGUCAGGCUCCACUAUUUAAAAUAACAAAAACUCUUAAAAUGAAUAUAUAAUCCCUACUUUUUCCUAAUACUUCCUUUAUGUCUCCCCUCUUCCGCUUGCUAGCUUUAACUCCAUUAUGCUAUGUUGGCUCCUGGAGAUGCACUAAUAUAGAGAACAAAAUAGAGAUUUGUAAAAAUCUACCUUUUGUGGUCUAGGGGAUUACACAAAAUAACAAGUUAGAACAGAAAAUGAAGUAUGAAUGUUGCUUGUUGAAUCACAAGGAGCUUACAGCUUAUGAGUUAUGACAUGUUGCUGAAAUUUUCAUGCGCUAAAGCAUUAAACUACUAGGAAAUGGAAUAAGGUUAAUUGAACAGCUAUCAUAUGGCAGGUUUUAGUUUUAUAUAAUUUCAUUAAUAUUGGGAAUUCUAUAUGUUGAUACUUUUGAUUCUGCUCGUACUAAAAAUGCCGUAAAACUAAAUUGUGGUGUAUAUGUUAUAGACCACUAGGAAGCAAGAAUCUGCAUCGAUUCUCCAGAGAUUUGUGUUAUAGAGUGUUCGCAAGAAUAUAGUUUUCUUUGGUUUAUGCUUUUCUCAUGUUCUCCUUGUUUCAUCCAUGUGGCUUUGGCAGAGACAAAACAGUGAUAUUAGGCUAUUCGGCUUGGAAAGAAAGCUGGCUUUUUGAAUAAUCUUGUAUUUCUCUUGUUCUAAUAAUUUAAUGUGGGAAAUUAAGUUUCGGCUUGUUAGGUGAAACUUUUAUUGGUUGCACAAUAUUUUCUUUGUAAGCUGUAUAGUCCCUUAUAUGUUUAUGCUUCCUCUUUGAUAUUGUGCAGAAAAAUGAUCACACUGACAGCUCGAGCACAUUUUUUGAUUUAAGAAGAUCAGUCAAAUAGAUCUGAAGGUCUCUACAUCAGAUGCUGGGUAACUAAAGUGCAUCCCCUAGGCCCUCAUUUAUUUAUGCUUCCUGUUUGAUAUUGAGGACUGUUGAAUAGAAGUGCAGAAAAGUGAUCAAAAUAGUAUGAAUUCAUUGUCUUUACUCCUUUGCCAGUAAUCUUUAUAAGUUAUAGGUCAUAGACCUAACUCUAUGUACUCACAGAUCUCAUCAAGUGGCCGCUUGAAUGGUAAUAAGCAUUUCGAAUGACUUUUGCACAAAUCUUACAGUUUGUUUCUUCCGAUAUUAUCUCUUAUGUGCCAAUUAAUUCAGCGUCGAAUUUAAAAGUGUCAUCAAACUUCACAGAUAUAUCGUCGCUGUACUGGUCAAUUUUACAAACUGUUGAGAUUCCAUCAGCACAGAUCUUGACAAUGAUAUUGGUUCCCCAGAUUGACAAGAGCAAACUCGAAUAUUUAGUCCCCUCUUCUGCGCUCUGUAUGAGCAGCAACAGAACCCCCAAGAUCCAUAUUAUACUUUAACAUUCAUAAUAUCUUAAAGAUAUAUAUAAGUAUAGUCACCUACAAUAUACUUAUGGAUUGAUUUUGUUUUAGAGGCAAAAUUGACAAGGCAUUACAGGUGCUGAAUAACAAUAUAUCAAAUGAGGCAAAUUUAUUUAGAUGGUAUUUGCAAGAACCAAUCAUCGAUGAAGCGAAUUUUUUUAGAUGGUACUGAACGAUUUCCUUCUUUCGUUCAGUACUUCCAGUGCUGCCCUUCAAACUAGAGUUUCUUUAUCCAUUUUCUCGUCAUUUUUCUAGUUUAUGAGUUUGAUUUUCGCUCACCACAAGAUAGAUAAUAAUUAGAAACAACUAUUACAACACCAUCCACAGCAAACCUGCAUAUCAUCUGAAACUACUCUACUGCAAACUUCACCAUUUCAUGCACAACUUUCAUCAUUCACAUACCAUCAUCUCUUCGAUUCUAACGUAUAUCAUUGCCCGGAGUUUAUCGCAAUUAGAAAACAGGCUAUUUCUUACAUAAGUAAUUUGACCAACCAGUUUUACCUUGAAGAAACAUGGUGUCACAAGUCUAAAACUAUGCAUCCGGGCUUUUGAUUUUUGUACAAACAUGUCCUUUUAUCUAAGGAUUCAAUAAUACUAGAAUCACUUGCCUGUACUUAGACUAUGUGCAUGUAAACAUGUAAAGAAUACACCGGAACUUGUUAAUAAUUUGAUAAAUUUAUAGCAUUUUGUUUGAAUUACAAGGAGUAAGCGGUGACUUCAGACUUCAGAUAAGUGAAACUAUUUUUGUGAUAUAGUAACAAAAAAUUGAUUGUGGGUGUUAAAAUAAUAUAAUAACUCCAAUAAUUUAUCCUAGUUUACUUUUUGCUUUCAUUUCUUUAUUGGUUUUCAUUUUUUUGGUGAUAUGAUAAUUAUAAAAUCUCUCCCUUUUACUCAUUUUUCUUUAAUUUGAAUUUAUCGUUAACAUAUCAUAUAAGUAUUUAGAUGGACACAUGUUAUCUAAAGAUUUAAAGAUAUACACUGUCAUUUUCUAAAUUAUAUUUUAUUCACUUAUACUCGUAUAUCUCAUUGAGUAAAAUUUUGUUGCAACAAUUUAAAGGUUUUCACCAAUUUGUUGACAAGAAAACAAAAACUAAUAAGAACUCUUUAAAUUAACUAUUCACUCCUUCCUAUUUUAAUAGUCUUAUUUGCUGAAAUAAAAUUUCUCAUAUUAUUUGUCCUUUGUCUUUCUCUGAUAUAAAUUUUAUACAAAUAUCAUUUAUUAGCCCUCACAAUUUCAUGUUUUACAUGCAAACUAUGGUGACUUUUAACCAAAUGAAUGAAUAUUUAGUAGUAGUAUUUUUUGGUAACCAUGCAUGAGUGUGAUAACAACAUAUCACAUUAAUAUUUCUUAAUAUGUGAUUUGUGCAAAGUGGACUAUUAAAAUGGGAAGGAGGGAGUAGAAGUUUAGACAUUUAACUAAUACUCCUAAUUUAACCAAUAAGAACUCACCAAGGAAUCGAUCUUUUUUACAUUUGUUCGAGUGAUCGUAAAUGUCGUGUGGCUUUUUAUUUUGAAGUAAUAUGUUUCUUUUUCCAAAAACAAAAACUAAUAAAAACUCUUUAAAUAUCUUGGGUUACGAAAUAUUUUCUCUCCAUAUGUAAACACAGUAUUGUGAGAGUAUCAAAUGGCACGGUACCAAAGUUUAGAUAAUCAAAUGGAGACUUUAAGUGUAGAGGACGAAGAAAAUGAAGAAGUUGUUUUUGGGGUAGAUGGUGAAGAGGAGGGAUACAUAUAAGAGUUGUGUGUGGUUGGUCGUUUUCUUACAGAAAAGAAUAUCAACACGAGGGCAAUGAAGAUUAAAAUGGCUGAUGUAUGGAAGCCUGCAAUGGGAAUAAACAUCAAGGGACUUGAGACAGGCAUAUUCUUGUUUCAGUUUGAUCAUAAAAAGGACAUGUUAUGGGUUUUAAAUGGAGGAUCUUGGGUUUUUGACAAGGCGAUGCUGUUGGUGGAUGUUAUUCCAUCGGGUGUAGAUCCAUUGAAGGUGGAACUUUGGUUCUUAAAAAUAUGGAUACAGAUAUAUGAUCUCCUUGCUGGUGGAAGGCUGGAAUGUAGGCAAACAACUUGGAAAUUUCUUUGGAGAAUUUCUUCGGUAUGAUGAAAAAAUUAACACAAGUAUUUGGGGUGAAUGUAUGUGUAUAAGGAUUAAGAUUGAUGUUCGGUAGCCUGUGAAAUCAGAAAAAAGGUCAGUGUUAUUACUACCUAGUUCACAACAAAGGGCUGUUUUUUCUGAAAUAGAUUCUUCUUCUCAACUUUACAAUCUUUAUUGGCUAAACUUGCGGAGCAAGCUAGCCAUUCAUCAUAAAGAUCUUAAGCUGGAACUGUCGAGGCUUGGGAAAAUCAUUUUGUGGUGGAGAAGGUAGGCCGGACUGGUGGUAAUUUAGCUGUGUUGUGGAAAGAUAUUAUCAAAUGUAAAGCGGUAAACUUGUUGUGUGAAAAUCAUUCCGUUGUUAUAUGAUCUCCUUGAAAAUACUAGAUAUUUUAUUGCAUUUUUAAGGAUCCAUGGUCAUUUGUCAGGAGAUCAUGCAACAACAGAAUGAUUUGGUCAACCGUCAUGCUAAAAAGUACGGGAAUAGGAUAGCACAUCUUUUGGCUAGAAUCCCCGAUUUAAUAGGUUGCUACAACCUGUUUAUAUCUCCUCCACAUUAUGUGUUGGAGGUUUUAUUGUCUAAUAUUUAAUUUUAAUGCAAUUGUUUACUUCAAAAAAAAAACUCUUUAAAUGAAUGUAUAUUCUCUGCUUCUUCCAUCAUCUUACCAUAUUUUGGAAUAUAUUCAAAACAAAUUCAAUUUCUAAUAAUUGGAAAAUGUAUUCAUUUAUAAAAAUGCGAAAUUUAAAAUUAUAAAUUAAUAAAAUGUUUUGAAGAGAUCGAGGAAUCUGAGGUAAAAAAAGUUAAAAAAAAAAAAAACUCAUUAUUUUUAAGAAUCCAGCCAUUUAAAAACAUGCAUGAGAAAAAUACACCAUCCAACCUUUAUACAUAUUACACAUAAUUCAAGAUCUUAAAUAAAACUUAAAAUAUAAAUAUCAUAUGAAUUGUUGUUAAAAUUAGAAUGACAAACAUACAAUCAAAGAAUUUAGUUAUGUUAUAAUAUAAUUCAAAAAUAUAAUUGAAUUUUUUUCUAAUAUUACUAAAUAGAUAAUCAAAUUAUAUUAUAAAUCUCAUCAAAAAUUAUAUAAUUAUAAAAAAGUGACUUUUAAAUUGGCAUCACAAUCAUAUUAGUUGUCAAGAGGUAACAUAGUUAAAAAUCCAUUAUUCUCGAUUAUCCACCUAAAAAGAAUCUGACAUUAUGGGUAAAAUAUUUUAUCAACAUGUAUAUAUUUUUUCCGCGUACAAUUAAACAUAUUACAAAUAUUAUUUCACCAAAAAUUUAGACUUCUAAAAUGGUGUAACUAUUCCAAACAACCCUUAAGACUAUCAGUGAGGCUCAGGACAUGACUAUAGGUAUGGCUUUAUGCAUGUAGAUUGAGAGCAUAGAGUAGGAUGCAUUGAGUUGUGGGUUUUGAUCUGUAGGAGUUAGAUGGAUCUUUUGGAGUUUGGAAGUUGUAUUGUUGGCUCAUUUGAUUUUGUAGAUGUAGAUUCAUACUUGGCGAUCUUGGGUGGGAUUUGUUUUGAUUUUGAUGAUUGUUGUAGUUGGAAUAUCUCAAUAGUUUAUUAAUUUAAUACUUAAUUCUACAGUUUUUUAUUAGUAGUUUUGCAGAUCAGAGUAUUCAGUUUAGUAGUGUGGGUCUGUACAUUUAAUUUAUGAAGGAAAGUGGAUGAAGCAGGUGCUUUUCAAGUAAAGAGUUAUGUCAAAGACCAUAACUUUCAAGUAAAGAGUUAUGUCAAAGACCAUAACUGCAUACUUGUGCACAAGCACAAUUCGGUGAGAUCAGAUUGGUUGGUAAUAAAGGUAGGUAAUAAGGCGAGGGUCAAUCCAAAAUGGAGACUGAGGGAAAUACAACAGCAUGUGUAUGAGGUGCAUGGCCUGGUGACAUCAAAGAACCAGUGCUGGUUAGCUAAGAAAAAAGCUCUAUCAGAGAUAGAAGGUGAGAUAGCUAAACAAUGCAAAAGGCUAUAUGAUUAUGGUGCUGAUAUUAUUAGUUCAAAUCCAGAUAGCACAGUUAAAAUUGGAGUAGACAAGGUUAAUGAUGUUUCUACAUUCAAGAGAAUAUACAUCUGCUUUGGUGCUUUGGAAAUUGGUUUUAAACAGGGUUAUAGGAAGAUCAUAGGUAGGGAUGGGUGCGGGGGUACUUCGGGGGCGGGGUGUGCUAUCCCCGACCCCGAUCCCCGAAUUUAAUACUCCUCCUCAACCCCGCCCCGAACCACGAACGGGGUUUUCUCCCCGAUCCCCGCCCCCAACGGGGAAGGGGGAUCCCCGCGGGGAUUCGGGGAAUUUUAUUUUUUGAUAAAAACAUAAUAACUUUAUAAUAUAUAUUAUACUUUUUAAUUAAAAAAACAAACUACUAACUCCUAAUAUACUAAUAAAAUAAUAUUAUCUUAUAUUUUCAACAUCAAAUCAUAUUAAAAUUGAUUUAUAAUAUAAAUAAACGUCAAUUUAAAAUUAUAAAAUAUAUUAUAUCACAAUAAAUUGAUAAUCAAUCAAUAAAACUUUAGUAUAUUAUUAAAUAUAUUUAGUAUAAUAUAUAUAUAAAUAUAUUAUUAUUUNNNNNNNAGCAUAAAUUUAAACCUAUUUAAUUAUUUAAGAAUGUAUAUAUAUAUAUAUAUAUAUAUAUAUAUAUAUAUAUAUAUAUAUAGGGGGCCGUUAUACAACCACAGUUGGAUAAUUAUUUAAAUAUAUCCAAGUACACUGACAAUCGUUGAUUUGUCAGUGUACGGACAAGAUUAAAAAGAACUACGUCAUAUAACAAAGCGUAUACGCUACAUUAUAUAGCGUAAGACCAGAGCAGAAUCCGAAACAGAGCAUUUUCUCUGGUCUUACGCUGUACAAUAUAGCGGAGCGGUUUUUUUUUUGCAGAACCGGCUUCGUUAGUUUGUAUAGCGUAUUGUGGAUAAACAAAAGAUCCAUACCAAAAAACAUAUCCACAGCAGCGAUUUGAAGCCGAUUGAAGUGAUUUCAACUGAUUUCAACCCAAAUCAAACGAUUUCUGGUGCGUAUGCUCUUGUAUAUGUGUGUGUAUAUCUGUGUGUGCGUAUAUACGUGUGUGUAUAUGGUUUUUUGUAUGUGAAUUUUGAUUUUUCUUUAUGAAUGUGUGUAUAGAUUCAUAGAUGUAUAUAUGUGCGUAGAAUUUGGUAAAGUUAUCAUAUUUAGUUCGAUUUUUAGUUAAUUUUUGAUUUGGGGAUUUGUGGAUCUCUUUAGUCAUAAUUCGAAUUUGUAAUUUGAUUUUGAGUUUGAUAGUUAGAUUGUUGGUAUAGUUUGAAAUUGUUUGGAUUUUAUUGAUUUUUUUUAGUUCGAAUUUUAGUUUAAUUUGGAGUUAUGGUUUUAUAGUUUAUAUUUUGGUAAAGUUAAAUUUUUCUUUGGAAUUGUUGAUUCUUUUUGGUUUGAUUUCGAAUUUGUACUUAGAUUGUUGGUAAAGUUUUAAUUUUUUAUGGAUUUUAUUGAUUUGUUUAGUUCGAAUUUUGUAGUUUAAUUAUGAAUUGGGGUUUGAUAGUGUAGAUUUUGGUAAAAUUUAGCUUUUUGUUUGAAUUUGUCUAUCUUUUUGUUUGAUAUUGAAUUAUAUUUAGAUUUUUGAGUUGGAUAGUUUAGAUUGUUGGCGAAGUUUGAAUUUUGAUAGUUGAUGUUGAAUGUGUUAAGAUUAUUGAUUUGUUGGUUGUUAAGAUUGUUGUUGGUGGGAAUUGAUGGUUUGAUUUUGACCUUGAUGUUGUUUGUUGGUUUUGAUAAUAUGAUUGUAGAAAUGGCGAAUGAUUUUUGUGGACCGGUUGAUGAUUCGGUACUUCGCCAUCAAGCGCAAUAUAGCGUAACCCGGUCUUACGCUGUAUUAUAUUGCGUAAACGCUUGCGUAAGCACAGUGUUUUUAUUGAUUUCUGUGCGUUGAUUGCUUUUUUUUGGACGGUGGGAGAUGAGUUGGAUGGAUAAUCUACUUAUCCAACCGUGGCUGUGGAACAUUUCCCAUAUAUAUAUAUAUAUAUAAUUGGGGUCGGGGAUCGAGGCGGGGAGACACAAAUCCCCGACCCCGCCCCGAUCCCCGAAUUUUUUAUAAAACUUUUUCCGAUCCUCGCCCCGACCCCGAAAAAUUCCCCGAAUCUCCGACACGAACGGGGCGGGGAUCGGAUCGGGAUCGAGCGAGGCGGGAUGAAUGCCCAUCCCUAAUCAUAGGCCUUGAUGGCUAUUUUUUAAAAUGUUUUGUCAAAGGAAAAAUACUAGCAGAAGUUAGUAUGGAUGGAGACAAUGGGAUGUUUCCAAUUGCUUGGGCAGUUGUGGAUGUUGAAUGCACUGAAUCAUGGGAAUGGUUCAUUAAACUAUUAAGGGAUGAUCUUGAAUUUGACAGUGGUGCAGGGUACACCUUAAUGACGGAUCAAUAGAAGGUCUGUCUCUUUUAAUUUGAUAUAGUUAUGUUUGUUUGAUAUGCUUGUUUCAUUAAACUACUAUGCUUAUACUUGUUUGAAAUGCUUGUUUUUUUAUAGAGUCUGAUGAAUGUCAUAGAUAACAACUAAAAUGGAAUGAAACAAGUUAUACUUAAUUAUAAAAUAUUUAUGGUUAGAUAUAUAUAUUAAGGACCGUUUGACUGAGUUUAUAAGUUCGGUUUCCAAAUUUAUAAAUCCGGAAAAUUUCAUCCGUACCAUUUUUUAUUCAAUAAACAUUUUUGAAAUUACCCAAAACUGAGCCUUAGAUAUGAUUAUUUUGGGAAAAAAAUGACAGCAGCAAGUAAAAAUCUGGUAAAGUAACAUAGAGCAGCGAGCACAGAGACCCCGUGAUUUACCUGCUCUCAAGUCCAGGCUGUAACAGAAUUUCAGUUUUUUGAUAUCUGAUUUCUGCGCAUUGAAUUUGUAGCCAUGUCUGCCAUUUUGUUCAAGAAAGGAGCUCAAACACUAACUCCAUUUCAUGCUCUCACUUCAUUCACGCUAAUGCCUCAAAGUGUAAGCCCUUGUUCUCUUUUACUCCAUUCUCAUUUUCUUCUUUUCUCUACGAAGCCUAACCCUAAUUCACAACCCAAAGCCCCCUUUAUUCCUUCUCCAUCUACCACUCAUCCCGAACUUAAACAAUUGCUCUAUCAUAAAUCUAAGCUUGGUUUCGAUAAACUGGACGAUGCGCUCCUCGUGUUCGACAAAAUGAUCCUUCUGAAAUCUAGGCUUUCUGUUGUGGAUUUCAACCAACUCUUAACUGCCAUUGUUCGAAUGAAAGACUACUCUGUUGCCAUUUCCAUGUUUAGAGAAAUGCGUAUGUUAAGCAUUCCUGUUGAUAUUGUUACCUUUAAUACUGCCAUUCAUUCCACUUGUCACUUGAGUACUCUUGAUUAUGCCUUUUCCUUGCUUGCUGGAAUCAUCAAGAGUGGUCAUGUCCCUAGUGUUGUUACCUACAACACUCUCAUCAAGGGCCUUCUGUCUCAAGACAGGCCUUUAGAGGCUGAGCAUCUGUUUAGGAAGCUUAUCAGAUUUCGAGAAAUUCAGCCCGAUGUAGUUAUGUAUAGCACCAUCAUUGAUGGUCUCUGCAAAACUUCAAAUACCUCCAUGGCUCUCAAGUUGUUAAGAAAGAUGGAGAAGUUAGGUUGUAAACCCGAUGCGAUAACUUAUACCUCGAUUAUUGAUUCUCUGUGCAAAGAAAGACGAGUUGAUCAUGCAUUGGAUCUUGUGUCUGUAAUGAGCGUUAAAGGCAUUCCACCAAAUGUUAUAACCUAUAACACAUUACUUCAAGGUCUUUGCAGCUCCAGCCGAUGGGAGGACGUUGAGCCUUUGUUAAGUGAGAUGGGUGCUCAGAAGAUCCCUCCUGAUUUGCAUACCUAUAAUAUAUUGGUCGAUGCACACUGCAAAGAAGGGAGGACAAUAGAUGCUCAAGAUGUUAUUGAAAUUAUGAUCAAGAAAAGUGUACCUCCUGAUGUAAUCACCUACAACACACUAAUGGAUGGGUUUUGUUUAACAGGCAAAAUGGACAGGGCAUUAGAGGUUCUGAAUACC